ACCUGGGUGGCUCAGUCAGUUAAGUAUCUGACUUCAGCUCAGAUCAUGAUCUCACAGUUCGUGGGUUCGAGCCCCACAUCGGGCU
This 85-nucleotide transfer RNA is filed under the name Felis catus (domestic cat). It matches the Rfam family "tRNA". From Rfam's summary of the family: Transfer RNA (tRNA) molecules are approximately 80 nucleotides in length. Their secondary structure includes four short double-helical elements and three loops (D, anti-codon, and T loops). Further hydrogen bonds mediate the characteristic L-shaped molecular structure. tRNAs have two regions of fundamental functional importance: the anti-codon, which is responsible for specific mRNA codon recognition, and the 3' end, to which the tRNAs corresponding amino acid is attached (by aminoacyl-tRNA synthetases). tRNAs cope with the degeneracy of the genetic code in two manners: having more than one tRNA (with a specific anti-codon) for a particular amino acid; and 'wobble' base-pairing, i.e. permitting non-standard base-pairing at the 3rd anti-codon position. Lineage: Eukaryota; Metazoa; Chordata; Mammalia; Carnivora; Felidae. The record is from Rfam by way of RNAcentral.